UACGGAGGAUGCGAGCGUUAUCCGGAUUUAUUGGGUUUAAAGGGUGCGUAGGCGGGAUGCCAAGUCAGCGGUAAAAAUGCGGUGCUCAACGCCGUCGAGCCGUUGAAACUGGCGUUCUUGAGUGGGCGAGAAGUAUGCGGAAUGCGUGGUGUAGCGGUAAAAUGCAUAGAUAUCACGCAGAACUCCGAUUGCGAAGGCAGCAUACCGGCGCCCUACUGACGCUGAGGCACGAAAGCGUGGGUAUCGAACAGG
RNAcentral lists this ribosomal RNA (252 nucleotides) under uncultured bacterium. RNAcentral describes it as "partial 16S ribosomal RNA". It matches the Rfam family "Bacterial small subunit ribosomal RNA", at positions 524 to 776 of the family's 1533-position model. The record is from RNAcentral.